RNAcentral lists this transfer-messenger RNA (355 nucleotides) under Pseudomonadales bacterium. It matches the Rfam family "transfer-messenger RNA". Rfam says of the family: Bacterial tmRNA, also known as 10Sa RNA or SsrA, is named for its dual tRNA and mRNA-like properties. Its role is to liberate the mRNA from a stalled ribosome. To accomplish this part of the tmRNA is used as a reading frame that ends in a translation stop signal. Lineage: Bacteria; Pseudomonadati; Pseudomonadota; Gammaproteobacteria; Pseudomonadales. The record is from RNAcentral.
GGGGGCGACUUGGUUUCGACGCGGGUAUCAAAGUUUGCGGUGCAUGCCGAGAGGGUAGUGACUCUCGUAAAACAAUCGCUGUAACUUUUAUAGUUGCCAACGACGAAAACUACGCACUAGCGGCCUAAAUCCCGCUUACGUCCAUGAUUCGUUUCUUGCUAGGAGAAAUGGACGGCAAAACAGCAAGAUCGCGCGGAUGUCUCGCCCGGGGCUGAACCGUUAAAACCAAUCGGGAUCGCUGAUCGCACCCUGACCGUCGGGUCGCAGGAAGCUAAAUCAAUAGACGGACCCUAAGCAUGUAGAGCCAAUAAUGGCGAACCAGCGGACGCGGGUUCAACUCCCGCCGCCUCCACCA